This 62-nucleotide transfer RNA is filed under the name Aleocharinae sp. 6 EF-2015. RNAcentral describes it as "tRNA-His". It matches the Rfam family "tRNA". From Rfam's summary of the family: Transfer RNA (tRNA) molecules are approximately 80 nucleotides in length. Their secondary structure includes four short double-helical elements and three loops (D, anti-codon, and T loops). The record is from RNAcentral. Lineage: Eukaryota; Metazoa; Arthropoda; Insecta; Coleoptera; Staphylinidae.
AUUUAAAUAGUUUAUUAAAAUAUUGAUUUGUGGAGUCAAAGAUGUAGUUUCUACUUUAGAUA